AUGUUCUUUGCAAAGUGGCCGCUGCGUGUUGAGGUCCACUCUCUCUGGCCCCCUCCCUGCUGGGCCAGCUGCUGGCACGGCUGUCCAGGCAGGCUCCCUGCCCCCACGUGCAGGAAUUCAGCCCCGGGUUUGCUGAACGCAAACACACUCAGCAUCACGCUGGGCAGAGCCCCUGUGCUCGGGGUGCUGGCUGCAUGUGGACACGGAGGCCUGGACCUCCCCUCACGCUCCUUAGCUUCCCAUUCAGGCGGCCCCUGGCCACCAUGCUCCGCCCUUGGGCUGGGCCACAGCAGGGCUCCCGGCUCCCCCUUACUCGGCUGCAGCCCUGUGUGUGCACUGGCCCCUGUACAGCUGCUCCCAGCUGCCAGNGCCCUCACACGCCGGGUUCUGAGUCCAGCACUGGGCAGUGCCAGGGACAGGGAGGAGGGGACCGCCUGUCCCACAGGCCACUGCUCCACGGAGCACCAGUUGACCCCAGACCCCCCAGAGCCAUGGGCCCUCCUCCCAGGCCCAGGGAAAUUGUCACCACCCCCCGGGAGGGCCCGUGCCAUAGCCCGGGAAAUAGCAACGCUUGGCUUGAUGGCUCUAAGGAACUGCGAUUAUCAAACAUCGUCCGAGGUGUUCACAGCCAGGUCUCUCCACGGCGGGGCCCUGAGACCCUCGCCAGCACAGUCACCCCCAGUGAGGAGUAAGUGGACCUCACCGCGAGGCCAUUGUCCUCAGCUCUGGGCCCACAUCCCUCCUCUGGCCCUAAGCCCCCUGACCCCCACUGGUCCCACAUGGUGGCUCAGGGCUGGCCCUGCCCUUGCACAGCCCCCAGCCCGCUCCCUCUCCCGGCCAGGCCUGACCCAGGCAGCCUCUGGACCACAUCCACCUGCCACUUUUGCCCCCACUCCCCCCUUUCCAACCUCCCUCUGAAAAUUCCCCAGCCACCCCAUUCCAGCCGAGACCUCCCCAUCCCCCCAGUCACCCCAGAAGUGUUCACACAGUGGGGCCGGGCGUCGACCUGAGUUCACUACCAGGUCCAGGGCCAGGACCUCACACCAGCAGGAACCUGAACAGGAAGGCUGAGCAGGUGCUGGGCCUCCGUUGGCUGAGAGGAAGGGGCUCAUGGGAGGUGAGAACUGGUGUUCACUCUGACCCCGUUCUCCGAGCUCCUCCUGUGUGCUGGGCCUGCGGCUGAGACUUCACGUGUGUUUUUCAUUAUUUGCUGACGUGGCACAGAAACAGAGCAUCGAUUCAUACUGAUAUAUGAGGAAGCUGUUAACGGAGUAGAUCCUAAGAGUUCUCAUCGUAAGGAAAAUUCUUUCAAAAUUUUCUCUUGAUUUUUUUCCUUUUUGUCUCUACAUGAGCUGAUGGUGCAGACUGGUUGGUUCUAUCGCUGUCACUUCCCACUCUUUGCGAGCCCAUGAACCGCAGCACGCCAGGCCUCCCUGUCCUCCACCAUCUCCCGGAGCUUGCUCAAACUCAUGUCCAUCGAGUCGGUGAUGCCAUCCAGCCAUCUCAUCCUCUGUCGUCCCCUUCUCCUCCUGCCUUCAAUCUUUCCCAGCAUCAGAGUCUUUUCCAAUGAGUCAGUUCUUCACAUCAGGUGGCCAAAGGAUUGAAACUUCAGCUCAGCAUCAGUCCUUCCAAUGAACACCCAGGACUGAUUUCCUUUAGGAUGGACUGGUUGGCUCUCCUUGCUGUCCAAGGGACUCUCAAGAGUCUUCUCCAACACCACAGUUCAAAAGCAUCAAUUAUUCAGCGCUCAGCUUUCCUUAUGGUCCAACUCUCAACUCUCACAUCCAUACAGUCAGCUUUCCUUAUGGUCCAACUCUCACAUCCAUACAGGACUACUAGAAAACCAUAGCUUUGACUAGACAGACUUUUUGUUGGCAAAGUGAUGUCUCUGCUUUUUAAUAUGCUGCCUAGGUGGGUCAUAGCUCUUCUUCUAAGGAGCAAGCGCCUUUUAGUUUCAUGGCUGCAGUCACCAUCCACAGUGAUUUUGGAGCCCAGAAAAAUAAAACCAGUUACUUCACCUUUCCCCCAUCUAUUCAUCAUGAAGUGAUGGGACCAGAGGCCAUAAUUCUGAAUGUUGAGUUCUAAGCCAACUUUUUCACUCUCUUCUUUUACUCUCAUCAAGUAGCUCUUUAGUUCUUCUUCACUUUCUGCCAUAAAGGUGGCGUCAUCUGCAUAUCUGAGGCUAUUGAUAUUUCUCCCAGUUAUCUUGAUUCCAACUUGUCAUUCAUCUAGCCUGGCAUUUUGCAUGAUGUAAUCUGCAUGUGAGUUAAAUAAACAGGGUAACAGUAUAUAGCUUUGUCAUACUCUUUUCCCAAUUUUGAACCAGUCUGUUUUUCCUUAUCUGGUUCUAACUGUUGCUUCUUGGCCCACAUACAGGUUUCUUAGGAGGCAGGUAGGGUGGUCUGGUGUUUCCACCUCUUGAAGAAUUUUCUACAGUUCGUUGUGAUCCACGCAAAGGCUUUAGCAUAGUGUGGUAACAGAAGUAGAUAUUUUUCUGGAAUUCUCUGGCUUUCUUUUUGAUUCACUGAAGGUUGGCAAUUUGCUCUCUGCUCCCUCUGCUUCUUUUAAACCCAGCUGGUCCAUCUGGAAGUUCUCGGUCAUGUACUGCUGAAGCCUAGCUUGGAGGAUUUUGAGCAUGACCGUGCUAGCAUGUGAAAUGAGCACAGCUGUGCGGCAGUGUGAACAUUCUUUGGCGUCGCCUUUCUCUGAGAUUGGAAAGAAGAUUGACCUUUUCCAGUCCUGUGGACGCAGCUGAGUUUCAAGUUUGCUGACACUGCACAGAAACACAGCACUGAUUUAUGCUGGUGCACACGCGAGCUGUUCACAGAGGUCUCAGGAGUUCUCACCGCAAGAAAACAUUGUUUCAGAUUUUCUUUUGGCUUUUCCCCUUGUUGCCUCUAUGUGAGCUCGGGGAUACUAACCAGACUCACGGAGGGAGUCGUUUCACGCACGGGUUAGUCAGACCACCAUGCUGUUUACACCUACACAGUGAUGUAAGGUAAUUCUGUUAAUUAUAUCUCAGAAAAGCUGAAAAAUUACCUUGUGUAUUCUGUGACAUGAUUGGGCUUUGGGAACAGUGGCUGAGGUUGACGCAGGUGGGGCUGGGGACGCUGGGUCCUGAUGCCCGUCUGGGCAGCGCCUCAUGGACCGGCCUCCAACAGCGACGCCUGGUGGAAGGGGCGGGAAGUGCAGUGGGUGGAACGUGCGCUCCGCCCCGUUCCCUGCCCGCUGGACUAAGAGGGAGGCGGAGCUGUGGGCCUCGGGGCAGGGGUGGGGGGUCUCAGAGAGGAAGCACUAGUCUUCUCGCUGUCAGGCGUGUAUGUCAUCAGUGAUACACAUAUAAUGUGUGUGUGUGUGUGUGUGUGUGCUUAGUAACUCAGUUGUAUCCAACUCUUUUGUGACCCCACGGACUGUCGCCUGCCAGCCUCCUCUGUCCAUGGGAUUUUCCAGGCAGGAAUACUGGAGUGGCUUGCCAUUUCCUUCUCCAGGGGAUCUUCCCCACCCAGGGACUGAACCUGGGUCUCCUGUACUGGCACGUGGAUUCUUUACCAUCUGAACCACCAGGGAAACUCAUAUGUGUAUGUGUGUGUUUGUGUGUGAAAUACAUAUAUAUGUACAUACACAUAUACAUGAAACUAAAGGAGAUUCCCCACGAGGAUUAUGGAUUCUAAAGGGAAUAACUGCAAAAGACUCUAAAAUAAGCAAAACACAAAAUUAGUUCCUUUUCUAAGAGCGCUGGAGCCUUGGAAAGCUGUCUGAUCCCACAGAGGUGCGUGCCUUCGUCUGUGGCUAGGCCAUCCUAUGACUCUGAGGAGACAGGUGUUUACCUGGAGAAAACUGUUAGCAAUGCAAACACUUCCUCCAGGUCAGUUCAGUUCAGUCGCUCAGUUGUGCCCAACUGUUUGCUACCCCACGGACUGCAGCACGCCAGGCCUCCCUGUCCAUCACCAACUCCUGGAGUUUACUCAAACUCAAGUCCAUUGAGUCGGUGAUGCCAACCAACCAUCUCAUCCUCUGUCGUCCCCUUCUCCUCCUGCCUUCAAUCUUUCCCAGCAUCAGGGUCUUUUCAAAUGAGUCAGCUCUUC
RNAcentral lists this long non-coding RNA (4085 nucleotides) under Ovis aries (sheep). RNAcentral's name for it is "lncRNA (ENSOARG00000026768.1)". The record is from RNAcentral. Lineage: Eukaryota; Metazoa; Chordata; Mammalia; Artiodactyla; Bovidae.